Molecule: ribosomal RNA, 158 nt
Filed under: Trichoderma harzianum
Lineage: Eukaryota; Fungi; Ascomycota; Sordariomycetes; Hypocreales; Hypocreaceae
Also listed under: 3 other names
Description: 5.8S ribosomal RNA
Rfam family: 5.8S ribosomal RNA
About the family: 5.8S ribosomal RNA (5.8S rRNA) is a component of the large subunit of the eukaryotic ribosome. It is transcribed by RNA polymerase I as part of the 45S precursor that also contains 18S and 28S rRNA.
Source: RNAcentral
CAAAACUUUCAACAACGGAUCUCUUGGUUCUGGCAUCGAUGAAGAACGCAGCGAAAUGCGAUAAGUAAUGUGAAUUGCAGAAUUCAGUGAAUCAUCGAAUCUUUGAACGCACAUUGCGCCCGCCAGUAUUCUGGCGGGCAUGCCUGUCCGAGCGUCAU